CUGCGAAUGGCUCAUUAAAUCAGUUAUCGUUUAUUUGAUAGUACCUUACUACUUGGAUAACCGUGGUAAUUCUAGAGCUAAUACAUGCUAAAAAUCCCGACUUCGGAAGGGAUGUAUUUAUUAGAUUAAAAACCAAUGCCCUCUGGGCUCACUGGUGAUUCAUAAUAACUUCUCGAAUCGCAUGGCCUUGUGCCGGCGAUGGUUCAUUCAAAUUUCUGCCCUAUCAACUUUCGACGGCUGGGUCUUGGCCAGCCAUGGUGACAACGGGUAACGGAGGGUUAGGGCUCGACCCCGGAGAAGGAGCCUGAGAAACGGCUACUACAUCCAAGGAAGGCAGCAGGCGCGCAAAUUACCCAAUCCCGACACGGGGAGGUAGUGACAAUAAAUACUGAUACAGGGCUCUUUUGGGUCUUGUAAUUGGAAUGAGUACAAUUUAAAUCCCUUAACGAGGAACAAUUGGAGGGCAAGUCUGGUGCCAGCAGCCGCGGUAAUUCCAGCUCCAAUAGCGUAUAUUAAAGUUGUUGCGGUUAAAAAGCUCGUAGUUGAACCUUGGGCCUGGCUGGCCGGUCCGCCUCACCGCGAGUACUGGUCCGGCCGGGCCUUUCCCUCUGGGGAACCGCAUGCCCUUCACUGGGUGUGUCGGGGAACCAGGACUUUUACUUUGAAAAAAUUAGAGUGUUCAAAGCAGGCCUAUGCUCGAAUACAUUAGCAUGGAAUAAUAGAAUAGGACGUGCGGUUCUAUUUUGUUGGUUUCUAGGACCGCCGUAAUGAUUAAUAGGGACAGUCGGGGGCAUCAGUAUUCAAUUGUCAGAGGUGAAAUUCUUGGAUUUAUUGAAGACUAACUACUGCGAAAGCAUUUGCCAAGGAUGUUUUCAUUAAUCAGGAACGAAAGUUAGGGGAUCGAAGACGAUUAGAUACCGUCGUAGUCUUAACCAUAAACUAUGCGAACUAGGGAUCGGACGAUGUUAUUUUUUGACUCGUUCGGCACCUUACACGAAAGUACAA
RNAcentral lists this ribosomal RNA (1005 nucleotides) under Rhodoveronaea aquatica. RNAcentral's name for it is "SSU rRNA". It matches the Rfam family "Eukaryotic small subunit ribosomal RNA", at positions 87 to 1102 of the family's 1831-position model. Lineage: Eukaryota; Fungi; Ascomycota; Sordariomycetes. The record is from RNAcentral.